AAGUGUUGUCCGCCUGGCGGGUGAGAAGCUCCGAUGGGGUUUGAGCCGAGCGAAGCGAGACAAUAUGCCGAAGGCAUAGCCCGAAGGGAACGGCGUAGCCGUAUAAUCCCUCUAGUUACGCCG
RNAcentral lists this small RNA (123 nucleotides) under Amphritea atlantica. RNAcentral describes it as "RtT sRNA". It matches the Rfam family "RtT RNA". Rfam says of the family: This family represents a bacterial cis-regulatory element known as RtT RNA. The exact function of RtT is unknown although it is thought that it may be involved in changing the cellular response in relation to amino acid starvation. Lineage: Bacteria; Pseudomonadati; Pseudomonadota; Gammaproteobacteria; Oceanospirillales; Oceanospirillaceae. The record is from RNAcentral. RNAcentral also lists the same sequence under 1 other name.